AAGCCUCACCCCCCACAGGACCACACCCACCAUCAACACAGUCCUGGUGCAUACACACUUAACCCCCUGGAGAGUACCCAACUCCUCACUUCAGAGGCCUCCACCUCUCCACCAAUGCCCCCCACAGUUCACCUGGUCCUCACACAGGCCCUGCCCCACAGAGGCAGACACACUUACCUAUCUGUAGAGGAUCAAACAGCCAGUCAGUGCAGGCUAAAAAGUAGCCUGAGGGCUUGCUGUUAAGUAGGGCUGGUCCCUAUGGUGGGCUGCCUGCCCUGAUUGAACUGGAUUAAAUCUGUGCUCUAGUGGGCAGGGCAGACCCCUGGGCUAAUAGGCCAAGGGAAGAACCUCAAUGACGCCCCUCUGGGUCUGUGUCAGCGUGCCUGGACCAGGUGAGAACAAUGGCCCCCACCGUCUCAGUCUCCAGAGAGGUCCCUACUCCCACCAAGAUGGCCCCAGAUUCCACCAGGCUGAAAUGGCCCAUGUCCUCGUUAUGGAUAAGCCAAUAUACAACUGCAUAGAAAAAAGCUUCAUGGCUCCUGUUCUACAUGAGGUGCCACAGGAAAGGCUUUCUCAAGAAACAAUACUAGUUGGAUGGAACACUCACCUGGCAUGGAGUCAUCCCCAUUUUCUGCAUGGCGGUGGAGCGUGGGAACUGCAUCUAUUCAACGUGUCUCUUACACGCUGCCUCAGCAUGCUCUAGGAUCUCUAACUGAAUUUGUCAACAAGAGAGAGUAAAAACUGGAAGAAGACUAUGCUUUUAAAUGCUAAAGACAUUUUCCGCAAUUUUCUCACCAGAACUUUUGAACCUUCCCUAGAAUGUUCUGGAGCUGCAUUCUUAGACCUCCCCAUUGCCUCCACUUUCAUUUCACCCCAAGAGCUGUUAGUUAAUAAAAACGGACCUCUAGAGCAGAUCUUCUCAGACUUUAUAUGCAUAAAAAUACGUAUACAAAUGCCUUGGGGAUCUUGAAAAAAUGUAAUUUCUGAUUCAACAGGUCUAGGGUAGGACCUGAAGUUGUAUAUUUUGAAUAAGCACUGGGUAAUGCAGAUGCUGCUGGCCCAUGGACCACCCUUUGAAUAGCAUAACUCUAGAUCUGCUUUCAAGGAAAUAAAAUGGAAUUAACAUUUGUAAGUCACAACUUGAGUUAAAAAGCUCCAGGUAAUUUAAAGAUAUUGUUUUACCCAAUUUUCUUAAGAACCUACAAAAUGUGUAUUAUGUCCAGUUUACAGAGAAAACCAAAACUUACUUAGAUAUUUUAAUUUACUCCAUAUCACCUAGUUAAAAAUCACAAAACUAGAAUUGGAUCCCAGUUUCUGUGACCCCAAAAGUCUUCACCCUUCUGACAGACCAAACUGCCUCUUAGCACUGAUGUCACUCUGAGUGCGCUGACCUGCCGGGGUUUUCUAGUUCGUCAGAGCAUCCCAGGGAUGACUAAGCCAGCGUUUGAACCCCCUUUGCACCCAAACGUCAAUACUAUGAUAGCACAGUGAUUUUUACAAAGCCAUAAAUACAGAGGAACAAAGAGAAUAGAAUGGGAAAUCUUUGGAAUACAGGAAAGCAGACAGGCAGGUGGUAACUGCGCUGACAACCAGACAGCCGGGUCUAGGAGGCUGUGGGAGGAGCCGGAAGUCAGCUGACGGCACCGUGGGUGAUUCCUGAGUCUCUGAAAAGGCCGUCUUGAGAGUUUACACCCUUCGCCAGAAGGACGAAGUGCUAGAAUUUUUAGAGUGGCUCAGGGCCUCAACAAGCAGGGAAGAGGUUAAGCUGUAAAUUUUGGAUUUUGAAUGCACUGGAAUUUUCCUUCUCUUUUUUCAGCUGUGGGAUCAAGGAAGAAACAGGGUCCUAAAGGUCCUGUGGUGUAGACAUCCAACAACAGGAUGAUCUGGGGUAUAUCAUUACCUCUGUGGGUCUUGACACACUAAAAUAUAAAAGGAAAAGGCUACACUAAGUCAUAUCUAUGAUCCUGUUAGCUCAAACAUUUUGUGAUCCUGGAGGUGUAAUCGCUGUUUUAUGGAUCUGCAUUUAUGUCAAGAGAAAUGUCAUUGUAAGUUUUUCAUCAUCAUAGCAAAACUGUUAAAGUAGCAGAUGGAGCAAUACAUUUGUAUGUCACAAUGCAGUUGGUCACCCCUCAUUUAUACAAAUCUUGUUGAAGAAAUGACACUCAAAAGCCUCUCCAUAUUUAAGUAUAAAAAAAUCUAUAAAAUUAUAUCCAAUUGGUUAGCAGCCUGUGUCUGAGGUUUAAUAGAGUUAUAUUUCUUUUCUGGCUUCAGAGAAGACUUUUCCAAAUGAAUAUAAGGGAUGGGACACUUGAUUUGGCUGCCCUUUCUAAAUUGUGGUCUAAAUUUAUUAGUGCAGUUCAUGACUCAGCCCCUUUAUUUAUGUCAUUAAGCAUGGUUUUUAUUUUCUCAGAAGCCAAUAUAUAUUUUGUCAUCAUGGAAAUGAAUAUCAAGUAGGUAGAAAUGAGACUAUAGAUUUAUCCCACAUGAAACAAAUCUGAUAUAUGAAAAACUCCCUUUAAAAAAGAGAUAUAUCAAGGUGAAAUUAUUUACUUUGCCCAAAUAAUUAUUUAUGUGUGUAUUUAUUCCCAAGGAUUAUAUUAAAGAACAUUUAACCCAGUAUUUAUUCAUUCAUUUGAUAAAAUUAGUUCAAUUUAUGCACAAUUUUUAGAAUUUCAUUUCUUGUUUAAUUAGGUCAACUUGUGUGGUUUAAGCAACUUUUGAUUUUUUAAAUGAAAACUCAAGUAAAAUUUCUGUUUGACAGUAGUAAUUGCACUGGAUAUGGAGAUAAUGAAAAAUGAGCAGACAAGUGAAGCUAAAAGGAAGUUAGAAAGGACACAUAUCCCAAGCAGAAAAUUAGCAAACAUGGCAACUUCCAGCUCUCUAUGCCAUAUGUGGACACACCAAAUAGGGUCAUUUCCUGGACUGGAAAACUGGGUUCCAGGCUGUGGCACGCAGGACUAGGAGAUCGAGGAUAGAGGCAGUGCCUCGUCCGCUCUCCAAGUUAGUCAAGAGAUGAACUUUUCCCAAGAGGGCUGCCCUCUCUUCAUUGUGGUAUUUUAUGCAUUUAUUCAAUUAAUCCAAUAUUACUUUUUCUUUCAAUUUCUGUGUAUUUUUUUAAACACUAAGUUGUUAAGACUUAAAUACUUCUUAAGUUAUUUAGACCUAACUGCU
RNAcentral lists this long non-coding RNA (3171 nucleotides) under Equus asinus (donkey). RNAcentral's name for it is "lncRNA (ENSEASG00005031062.1)". The record is from RNAcentral. Lineage: Eukaryota; Metazoa; Chordata; Mammalia; Perissodactyla; Equidae.